UACGUAGGGGGCAAGCGUUGUCCGGAAUCACUGGGCGUAAAGGGCGCGUAGGCGGCCUUCUAAGUCGAACGUGAAAUCCCCGGGCUCAACCCGGGAACUGCGUCCGAUACUGGAAGGCUUGAAUCCGGGAGAGGGAUGCGGAAUUCCAGGUGUAGCGGUGAAAUGCGUAGAUAUCUGGAGGAACACCGGUGGCGAAGGCGGCAUCCUGGACCGGCAUUGACGCUGAGGCGCGAAAGCCAGGGGAGCAAAGCGGG
Molecule: ribosomal RNA, 254 nt
Filed under: uncultured bacterium
Lineage: Bacteria
Description: partial 16S ribosomal RNA
Rfam family: Bacterial small subunit ribosomal RNA
Source: RNAcentral